GAUGAACGCUGGCGGCGUGCCUAAUACAUGCAAGUCGAGCGAACAGACGAGGAGCUUGCUCCUUGGACGAUAGCGGCGGGCGGGUGAGUAACAUGUGGAUAACCUACCUAUAUGACUGGUAUAACCUGGGGAAACCGGAGAAAAUACCGGAUAAUCUAUUGAACCGCAGGGUUCAAUAGUGAAAGACGGUUUUGCUGUCACUUAUAGAUGGAUCCGCGCUGCAUUGGCUAGUUGGUACGGUAACGGCUUACCAAGGCAACGAUGCGUAGCCGACCUGAGAGAGUGAUAGGCCGCACGGUAACAUAGACACGGACCUGACGCCUACGGGAGGCAGCAGUAGGGAAUCUGCCGCAAUGGUCGAAAGCCUGACGGAGCGACGCCGCGUCAGUGAUGAAGGUCUUCGGAUCGUAAAACUGUGUUACUAGGGAGAAACAAAUGUAGAAGUAACUAUGCACGUCUUGACGGUACCGGAUAAAGAAGCCACGGCUAACUACGUG
Molecule: ribosomal RNA, 497 nt
Filed under: uncultured bacterium
Lineage: Bacteria
Description: partial 16S ribosomal RNA
Rfam family: Bacterial small subunit ribosomal RNA
Source: RNAcentral